Numida meleagris (helmeted guineafowl) is the source of this 1931-nucleotide long non-coding RNA. The record is from Ensembl. Lineage: Eukaryota; Metazoa; Chordata; Aves; Galliformes; Numididae.
AUCUCUUCACGUCUAAGAGCAGCUUUCCUUCCCACUGUAGACAAUACGCCUCUCAGUCUCCAUUUACACUCUGGGAUUCCCACCUACCAGCAAGGGUCUUCGGGAUACCGUCUGGGAGUAACAUCUUCUCGAGAGCACAAUACAAAUGGCCAGAGCUUCGCCUGCCCCUUCUUGGGGUGGGGUACACCGAUCCCGCCGGCAUCCCGCUGCCCGCCUUCGGCAAGGCUUUCCUCGUAUUUUCAUCGUCCAGAAAGACGCGGUGAACUAGAAUCGAUUUGUUCUCGGUACGGCGGGUAUUCCCGGCAGCGACGUCUCACCGCCCGCUCCCUGCUGGGCGGACCCAUCGCCGGGCUAUUUCUCGGGGUACCAGCGCCCUCGGCCGGCACUCGACCCGAGGAGGGAAAAGCCUUAGCGAGCAGAGCUGCAGCGCCGGAGCCCGACCCUUCAGAGCGAGGGCGGGCAGAACCAAGCUCUUUCUUGGGCUGCGCCGGUCGUGAGCAAGAGCGAGCCUUGCUCCGCAGUGGGAAGGACUGCUGCCAGCUCCGCACCCCCAGGGCGGGACAGAGCAUCCCACCCAAGGAGUGCAAGGAAAGGAGGAAAAAGGGGAGCCCCCUCCCCGUUUCGCCUUGCGAAAAACGGGCAGCAAUACCGUCAGCUCAACCAGCUCUUCGUUUGCCAUCAGCUGCCAACCGGGUGAACAGCAAGAUGUUCGUCAGUGUUACGUCCCACAACUUUCUGACAGCAAUCAAACUUUUUCAGGGAAAAAUUCUAGAUACAUUGUUUUGCAUCCAGACCGCCCUGGGCGGGGGGAGGGGGGGGGGGGAAGAGGGGAAUGGAAGUGGGGGUAUAUUGGGGCCAUAAUGUACUCCAAACCCGUACUGUAAGCAGUUGGGCAUUUUGUCUCCCCAGCCACUCCUGCACAGACGCUGAGCGGGAAUGAUGGGGAGGAACUGGGCUUCUUAGAUGAGCUGCUCCUCAUUUAUUACAUAUAUUUGCAAAGCACCAGGCUCCCUAGCUUUAAAAGACCUUGGGCUCCACCAGUUAAUUUUAACUAUCUGCUUAAGGUCUAACAAGCAAAUUAUGACUGGAGAAGAGUGGGAGGUAGCUGAACUCAGUGCACCAGCCAUGCAUCACUGCCCCCCAUCCCCCAAACAAGGAAAAGGGAUGACUUUGGAUGUUCAACAGGUUAUUGCUAAAACAAUGAAUUCCUUCGUAAGUUACCACAGUACGGUUACAAGACGUUUAAAAAGAUUAAUAGUUCAAUGUCUAUUCUGAAUUGGAGACUUCUCUGUCCUCCCUCCCUUCCCCCCCCCCAAAAAAAGGUACAUUAAGAUACCUAAGUAAGCUGAACCUUAGCCUUUCAGUAAUAGGUAUUUGUUUUAUUAACACUACAAGGAGACAGUAAAUUCUCACAUCCACUAGAAGUUUAUAAAAGCCUCCAGAUAAAUUUGUGCAUUUUUGUGAUUAAAUAUGUCUUAUAGCUUAAAAGCAUUAAAAGUUUACUUGAGUUGCAAUUUAAGAUCAUUUUGGCGAAUUCCCAAAUUUUUUUUUUUUUGGGGGGGGGGGGGGGGGAGGAAUGAUGCAGGGGUGGUGGUAGGAGGAAAAUUCACAAUUUUAAUCUGAUUCUUUGACCCUAAAGGGUUUGGUCUCUUUUAUAAAAACUGUUAAAAACACUACUCUGAGCCCUUAGAUGUACCAUAAAGAAAUUUCCUAUUAUGAAUUGCAAUAUUAGUAUGAUCACGAACUUGUCUCUUGUCUGCACUUAUCCUGACCAGACCCUAGCUCUGAUGAAAGAGGAAUUCUAAGAUUUUUCUUGAAAAAGAACAGCAUUAGAUUCUUUGCUAUGUAUGCUAAGAGCUAGAGAAAAGAGAGAACACCUUGAGGGAUCUGGUUCCAAUAAAUAUUUUCUUGUUGGAGUUUAGUGGCUUCCA